GAUGAACGCUAGCUACAGGCUUAACACAUGCAAGUCGAGGGGAAACGGCAUUGAGUGCUUGCACUCUUUGGACGUCGACCGGCGCACGGGUGAGUAACGCGUAUCCAACCUUCCCAUUACUGUGGGAUAACCUGCCGAAAGGCAGACUAAUACCGCAUAGUCUUCGAUGACGGCAUCAGAUUUGAAGUAAAGAUUUAUCGGUAAUGGAUGGGGAUGCGUCUGAUUAGCUUGUUGGCGGGGUAACGGCCCACCAAGGCUACGAUCAGUAGGGGUUCUGAGAGGAAGGUCCCCCACAUUGGAACUGAGACACGGUCCAAACUCCUACGGGAGGCAGCAGCGAGGAAUAUUGGUCAAUGGACGGAAGUCUGAACCAGCCAAGUAGCGUGCAGGAUGACGGCCCUAUGGGUUGUAAACUGCUUUUGUAUGGGGAUAAAGUUAGGGACGUGUCCCUAUUUGCAGGUACCAUACGAAUAAGGACCGGCUAAUUCCGUG
This 492-nucleotide ribosomal RNA is filed under the name uncultured bacterium. RNAcentral describes it as "partial 16S ribosomal RNA". It matches the Rfam family "Bacterial small subunit ribosomal RNA", at positions 28 to 507 of the family's 1533-position model. The record is from RNAcentral.